RNAcentral lists this ribosomal RNA (227 nucleotides) under Cohnella fermenti. RNAcentral describes it as "Cohnella sp. CC-MHH1044 partial 23S ribosomal RNA". It matches the Rfam family "Bacterial large subunit ribosomal RNA", at positions 2693 to 2925 of the family's 2925-position model. Lineage: Bacteria; Bacillati; Bacillota; Bacilli; Caryophanales; Paenibacillaceae. The record is from RNAcentral.
CGGGAUGGACGCACCGCUGGUGUACCAGUUGUUCCGCCAGGAGCAUAGCUGGGUAGCCAAGUGCGGGAGGGAUAAGCGCUGAAAGCAUCUAAGCGCGAAGCCCGCCUCAAGAUGAGAUUUCCCAGUACGUAAGACCCCUGGAAGAACACCAGGUAGAUAGGCUCGGGGUGGAAGCGCGGCAACGUGUGGAGCUGACGAGUACUAAUCGGUCGAGGGCUUAUCCUAAG